This 329-nucleotide unclassified non-coding RNA is filed under the name soil metagenome. Its description in RNAcentral is "partial contains 5.8S ribosomal RNA, internal transcribed spacer 2, and large subunit ribosomal RNA". The stretch from base 1 to 120 matches the Rfam family "5.8S ribosomal RNA", at positions 35 to 154 of the family's 154-position model. The record is from RNAcentral.
GAUGAAGAACGCAGCGAAAUGCGAUAAGUAAUGUGAAUUGCAGAAUUCAGUGAAUCAUCGAAUCUUUGAACGCACAUUGCGCCCCUUGGUAUUCCGAGGGGCAUGCCUGUUCGAGCGUCAUUAUAACCCCUCAAGCUCAGCUUGGUGUUGGGGCCUGCUGCACUGGCAGCCCUUAAAAUCAGUGGCGGCGCCAUCUGGCUCUAAGCGUAGUAAUUCUUCUCGCUAUGGAGUCCUGGUGGAUGCUUGCCAUCAACCCCCAAUUUUUCUAUGGUUGACCUCGAAUCAGGUAGGGAUACCCGCUGAACUUAAGCAUAUCAAUAAGCGGAGGA